This 87-nucleotide transfer RNA is filed under the name gamma proteobacterium HTCC5015. It matches the Rfam family "tRNA". From Rfam's summary of the family: Transfer RNA (tRNA) molecules are approximately 80 nucleotides in length. Their secondary structure includes four short double-helical elements and three loops (D, anti-codon, and T loops). Further hydrogen bonds mediate the characteristic L-shaped molecular structure. tRNAs have two regions of fundamental functional importance: the anti-codon, which is responsible for specific mRNA codon recognition, and the 3' end, to which the tRNAs corresponding amino acid is attached (by aminoacyl-tRNA synthetases). tRNAs cope with the degeneracy of the genetic code in two manners: having more than one tRNA (with a specific anti-codon) for a particular amino acid; and 'wobble' base-pairing, i.e. permitting non-standard base-pairing at the 3rd anti-codon position. The record is from Rfam by way of RNAcentral. Lineage: Bacteria; Pseudomonadati; Pseudomonadota; Gammaproteobacteria.
GGAGAGCUGGCCGAGUGGCUGAAGGCGCGCCCCUGCUAAGGGCGUAUAGGGGUAACUCUAUCGAGGGUUCGAAUCCCUCGCUCUCCG